CGAGUGAAUCGGUUGUUGAUGG
RNAcentral lists this non-coding RNA (22 nucleotides) under Arabidopsis thaliana (thale cress). Lineage: Eukaryota; Viridiplantae; Streptophyta; Magnoliopsida; Brassicales; Brassicaceae. The record is from RNAcentral.